RNAcentral lists this ribosomal RNA (465 nucleotides) under Vreelandella stevensii. RNAcentral describes it as "partial 16S ribosomal RNA". It matches the Rfam family "Bacterial small subunit ribosomal RNA", at positions 338 to 795 of the family's 1533-position model. The record is from RNAcentral. Lineage: Bacteria; Pseudomonadati; Pseudomonadota; Gammaproteobacteria; Oceanospirillales; Halomonadaceae.
CCUACGGGGGGCUGCAGUGGGGAAUAUUGGACAAUGGGCGAAAGCCUGAUCCAGCCAUGCCGCGUGUGUGAAGAAGGCCUUCGGGUUGUAAAGCACUUUCAGUGGGGAAGAAAGCCUUGGGGCUAAUACCCUCGAGGAAGGACAUCACCCACAGAAGAAGCACCGGCUAACUCCGUGCCAGCAGCCGCGGUAAUACGGAGGGUGCGAGCGUUAAUCGGAAUUACUGGGCGUAAAGCGCGCGUAGGCGGUCUGAUAAGCCGGUUGUGAAAGCCCCGGGCUCAACCUGGGAACGGCAUCCGGAACUGUCAGGCUAGAGUGCAGGAGAGGAAGGUAGAAUUCCCGGUGUAGCGGUGAAAUGCGUAGAGAUCGGGAGGAAUACCAGUGGCGAAGGCGGCCUUCUGGACUGACACUGACGCUGAGGUGCGAAAGCGUGGGUAGCAAACAGGAUUAGAAACCCUUGUAGUC